RNAcentral lists this ribosomal RNA (223 nucleotides) under uncultured bacterium. RNAcentral's name for it is "partial 16S ribosomal RNA". It matches the Rfam family "Bacterial small subunit ribosomal RNA", at positions 524 to 743 of the family's 1533-position model. The record is from RNAcentral.
GACGUAGGGGGCAAGCGUUGUCCGGAAUUAUUGGGCGUAAAGCGCUCGUAGGCGGAUCGAUAAGUCUGUGAAGAAAGACCCGGGCUCAACUCGGGGGAACGGCAUAGAUACUGUUGAUCUUGAGACAGUCAGAGGAUGAUGGAAUUCCAGGUGUAGCGGUGAAAUGCGUAGAUAUCUGGAGGAACACCCAGUGGCGGAAGGCGAUCAUCUGGGGCUGUUCUGA